UACAGAGGGUGCAAGCGUUAAUCGGAAUUACUGGGCGUAAAGCGUGCGCAGGCGGUUCGUUAAGUCAGAUGUGAAAGCCCCGGGCUCAACCUGGGAACUGCAUUUGAAACUGGCGGGCUUGAGUGUGGCAGAGGGGGGUGGAAUUCCGCGUGUAGCAGUGAAAUGCGUAGAGAUGCGGAGGAACACCGAUGGCGAAGGCAGCCCCCUGGGCCAACACUGACGCUCAGGCACGAAAGCGUGGGGAGCAAACAGG
This 253-nucleotide ribosomal RNA is filed under the name uncultured bacterium. Its description in RNAcentral is "partial 16S ribosomal RNA". It matches the Rfam family "Bacterial small subunit ribosomal RNA", at positions 524 to 776 of the family's 1533-position model. The record is from RNAcentral.